RNAcentral lists this ribosomal RNA (439 nucleotides) under uncultured bacterium. RNAcentral describes it as "SSU rRNA". It matches the Rfam family "Bacterial small subunit ribosomal RNA", at positions 478 to 915 of the family's 1533-position model. The record is from RNAcentral.
CCUGAGGAAGAAGUCCUGGCUAACUACGUGCCAGCAGCCGCGGUAAUACGUAGGGGGCGAGCGUUGUCCGGAGUUACUGGGCGUAAAGCGUCCGCAGGCGGUCUUUGCCGUUCAAAGUGACAGUCGUCGGCUCAACUGACGGAGGGCUGGGAAGACGCAAAGACUUGAGGGCUCAAGAGGGACACGGAAUUCCGGGUGGAGUGGUGAAAUGCGUAGAUAUCCGGAGGAACACCAGAGGCGUAGGCAGUGUCCUGGGGAGCUCCUGACGCUCAGGGACGAAAGCCAGGGGAGCGAACGGGAUUAGAUACCCCGGUAGUCCUGGCCGUAAACGAUGACCACCAGGCGUGGGAGGUAUCGACCCCUUCCGUGCCGCAGCUAACGCACUAAGUGGUCCGCCUGGGGAGUACGGUCGCAAGAUUAAAACUCAAAGGAAUUGACG